Molecule: ribosomal RNA, 1160 nt
Filed under: Novakiella trituberculosa
Lineage: Eukaryota; Metazoa; Arthropoda; Arachnida; Araneae; Araneidae
Description: SSU rRNA
Rfam family: Eukaryotic small subunit ribosomal RNA
Source: RNAcentral
AAAAGCUCGUAGUUGGAUCUCAGCUCCGGCCGGACGGUCCGCCUACCGGUGGUUACUGUUCGUCGCCGAGCGUUCAGGCGGUUAUUCUUGAUGAUCUUCACCGGUUGUCUCGGGUGACCGCCAAGUUUACUUUGAAAAAAUUAGAGUGCUCAAAGCAGGCGCGACGCCUGAAUAAUUGUGCAUGGAAUAAUGGAAUAGGACCUCGGUUCUAUUUUGUUGGUUUUCGGAACACGAGGUAAUGAUUAAGAGGGACAGACGGGGGCAUUCGUAUUGCGACGCUAGAGGUGAAAUUCUUGGACCGUCGCAAGACGAACUACUGCGAAAGCAUUUGCCAAGAAUGUUUCCAUUAAUCAAGAACGAAAGUUAGAGGUUCGAAGGCGAUCAGAUACCGCCCUAGUUCUAACCAUAAACGAUGCCAGCCAGCAAUCCGCCUGUGUUCCUCAAAUGACACGGCGGGCGGCUUCCGGGAAACCAAAGCUUUUGGGUUCCGGGGGAAGUAUGGUUGCAAAGCUGAAACUUAAAGGAAUUGACGGAAGGGCACCACCAGAAAUGGAGCCUGCGGCUUAAUUUGACUCAACACGGGGAAACUUACCCGGCCCGGACACAGGAAGGAUUGACAGAUUAAGAGCUCUUUCUUGAUUCUGUGGGUGGUGGUGCAUGGCCGUUCUUAGUUGGUGGGGCGACUUGUCUGGUUAAUUCCGAUAACGAACGAGACUCUAGCCUACUAAAUAGACGUUCCGAUCCUCUUUCGUCGGACGUUCUUCUUAGAGGGACAAGCGGCGUUUAGCCGCACGAGACAGAGCAAUAACAGGUCUGGGAUGCCCUUAGAUGUCCGGGGCCGCACGCGCGCUACAUUGAAGGAAUCAGCGUGUGCUUUCCCUGUCCGACAGGACUGGGUAACCCGUUGAACCUCCUUCGUGCUGGGGAUUGGAGAUUGUAAUUGUCCUCCAUGAACGAGGAAUUCCCAGUAAGCACGAGUCAUCAGCUCGUGUUGAUUACGUCCCUGCCCUUUGUCCACACCGCCCGUCGCUACUACCGAUUGAAUGAUUUAGUGAGGUCUUCGGACUGGCGCUCGGAUUGGCCUUCGCGGUCGAGCCGGUGUGCCGGAAAGAUGACCAAACUUGAUCAUUUAGAGGAAGUAAAAGUCGUAACAAGGUUUU